UCUCGAGAAAGAAAUCUCGGCGCCGCGCUCCUCGGCUCCUCGAGCUUCUUCGCUCGGCACCAGCGGGGACACUGCUCUUCUUGUAACGGAGUUGACUAAAGGCAGUGUUGUCUUGGCCACCAGCACCAUUACUGUGACUGAAUGAACGACAGUCAGUACAAGUAUAAGCGAUAGAAUCACUGUCAUACUGUUUAAUAUUGGCUACAAGAGGCUCAGGAAUACCGAGACACAUGGAGGUGGAACAAAACCAAUUGUUACAAUUCCUAUCACAGCCAAUACAAGAAUCAUCAAGUGAACUCUGACAGGUAGAACAGCACAUAACAUCACCUGGGGUACUGCUAGGGAGUGCAGUGGUUUGGGGCUUAGUUGAUGAGGUAGAACUGCUAUCACAUAAUUGGUUAUUAACACCAACCGCGUCACAAGAAGCACCACCCUGACCUACAGCACCAGUAGGUGGGUUUACAACAGUGGAAGGCGGUGGCUGAGAACCACCACCAUGACCUCUGCCACGUCCACGAGCCAUGAGGAAGCUAAGGGGCGCACCAGGGAAGAUGGAGCACAACAAGACACGUCCGCCUCCACCGACUGCUGGAACUGGUGUGUAUGGGAGAACGCCGAUCCAAAGGUUACACCGACAGCAAGUGCUGGGUGACUCCCAACUCAAGCUCAA
Molecule: unclassified non-coding RNA, 670 nt
Filed under: Portunus trituberculatus (swimming crab)
Lineage: Eukaryota; Metazoa; Arthropoda; Malacostraca; Decapoda; Portunidae
Description: uncharacterized LOC123512438, transcript variant X2
Source: RNAcentral